This 3973-nucleotide long non-coding RNA is filed under the name Malus domestica (apple). Its description in RNAcentral is "long non-coding RNA (MDOM_LNC016048)". Lineage: Eukaryota; Viridiplantae; Streptophyta; Magnoliopsida; Rosales; Rosaceae. The record is from RNAcentral.
GAAAAGUGAUAAUCUCCAUCCAAAAAACGAUAAAACAUACUAAAAUGAAAGGUGAAACCUUGCGCUUUCGUUUACCCUUUUUUCAAACCUUAUCGGGUGGACCUCCACCUCCAUCAAAGUUGGACAAUUAACUGUUUCUAUAGACCUAGCUAUCAGUCAACGCAUGAAGCAGAACACAGUCAGCUACACUUCAAAACAUUUGAUCUAUAUACACCAACAAUUUCGUUGAAUGGUAGAAAAAAUUAUAUCAAAGGGUCUUCCCCUUGGCCUUGUGCUUAAGUUAGUAACAAAUUCAACGUACCCCUCUAUUUAUACACAGCAUACAUAUUCUUCUCUAUAUGUAUUGUUCCCAUACUUCGCGUUCUUCUCUAUAUAUAUUUUUCCCAUACUUCGCGUUCUUCUCGUACCUCAAUCGUGUCAAUAUCACUUGGGAACAAAGGACCUUCAACUUGAGGUAAAAAAACAAAGAAACAAGAAGAAAAGUCAAGGCUUCUGUAGCAGGAAAGAAGAGCAGCAGCAGCCAUGACCGUUUCAUCUUCUCUUUCUGUUGCCAAAAAUGGCAGAGUCCUCAUCGCCGGUGCCACCGGUUUCAUCGGGAGGUUCGUAGCUGAAGCCAGCCUCGCAGCCGGUCAACCCACGUAUGUUCUCGUCCGGCCCGGCCCUCUGCACCCUUCUAAGGCUGACACCGUCAAGUCCUUCAAAGACAAAGGCGCAAUAAUCUUACACGUAUGGAAAUAAAUCUCUGUGCAAAAUAUAUCCUUUUUUUUUAUGACUUUACAUGCAUUUAUAAUUUUUGUUCACUUUAUCAUGUUUUAAUAUGUUGUAAUAUUGACUAUUUUCAGGGGCUGAUUUCCGAUAAAACCCUAAUGGAGAAAAUGCUAAGAGAGCAUGAAAUCGAGAUAGUAAUAUCAGCCGUGGGUGGUGCCACAAUAUUGGACCAGAUCACCCUAGUCGACGCCAUUGCGGCAGUUGGUACAGUUAAGGUAAAUAUAUAUUAUAUUUCCGAUGCAAAAAAUAUAUAUUAUAUAUAAAUAUAUCAUAUUAUAUUAUAUUAUAUGCUUUUUGGAAAACAAAACCAUAUAAAAACAUUAUAUAUUUUGUAAUUAAUUUUUCUGCAAAAUUUAUGUUGCAGAGGUUUUUGCCGUCGGAGUUUGGACACGAUGUGGACAGGGCUGAUCCGGUGGAACCAGGGCUCACCAUGUAUUUGGAGAAACGCAAGGUUAGACGUUCCGUCGAGACAUCUGGGGUACCCUACACAUAUAUUUGCUGCAACUCGAUUGCUUCUUGGCCCUACUUUGACAACACCCACCCUUCUGAGGUUCUCCCACCGUUGGAUCGGUUCCAAAUCUACGGUGAUGGCACCGUCAAAGGUAUGAUACACACGCACACAUUUUGUUGGUGAAUUUGCAGCAUUCCAUUAAUUAGGGGUACACGUGUUUUCUUCUAAUGUCAUUCAAGCUUAAAGCAAUGCCAGCUAAAAAGGACAGAUAUUCGUAGGACUCACUUUUGCUUAUAUUAAAAAAUACGUAUUAUUUGAUCCAAAAGAAAUAAAUAAUUUAUUAGCAAUAAUAAAAGUCAUCAAGCAAUUAUUUCUCCAUUAUUUUUACUACCGAAAGUGGAAUGAUUCUUAGAGUAAACACUUUACAACCACCGCAAUUAUAAUGUGAACCAAGUUCUUUCACCAACUAAAGUCUAAGUAGUUUACUUUAGGGAAAUAAUAUCUACAAUUGAUUAAUUAUAAUUGAAAAGAUAACUAUUACGAGCUCGUUUGAAAGUAUUUUUAAAAUGAUUGAUAACACUUUUAAAGAAAUAUUUUGGAUUCUAAAAUCACUUAAAAUGCUUCCUUAAGUGAUUAUUUAAGGUGCUUCCCUAAUUUCAAUCAUUUUAUAAAUUCUUCCAAACAAAUCUUAUAUUCAUUAAGAUAAAAACAAAAAAUGUUAUUUUAAGUCAUUGCAGGUAGCCAAUGGUGAGCAUGUACAAGAUGAAAGAGAAAUUUUAGAAAGUGAUACUUAUCCUAGUUGAUGAGGACAUUUAUUUUUAUUAACCUUAAUUGAAGAAAUGAAUCAUUUUUAUUGAUAUAUGUUAAAAAAAAUGAAAUGACCAUGUACCUACAACAAAUAUAAAAUUAUGUACGACCUGAACCAAUUUUUUUUAUAAAAAACCUAAAAUAUUAUAUGAUUAGGUGUAAGUCACUAUUAUAAUAAGUAUAAAAUACCUCUUGAAAUAAAUAAAAGUUAAUAACAGUUAGAUUGAGGAUAGUUUAUUAACGAACGGACUGUUUUUUCUUUUGUCCUGAUUUGGUGGCAAGAAAACCUUGAGAUGUGUUAUCCACGCUCUUUUUUAUUUUUUAUUCACUUUUUAUUAAUUUCAGUCAUUUGAUCUUCUUCAAUUCAUCCGAUGAUAAAAAAACUUAGAAAGGUGUGUGAAAAGUAAAAAUGGUGUAUGGAUAGCACAUCCCUACUAAAAAAUUGGAAGCAUUUAUGCUCAUCCUAUAACUAUGGGGUAUGCUCUUCAUACAUCUUAUUAUCUGCCAUGUGUACUUUUACUUAACCCUAAUUAUUUUUUUUCCACAUUGAAAAUGAUCUUUUAAUAUGCAAGUUAACCAAAAUUAGAUGAAAGGAUACAAGGCAGAUGAUAAGGUAUAUAGUGAGUAUACAACAUAAUUUAUAGUGGUGCGCAAAAAUGCAUCCCAAAAAAAGAUAAAAUCUCCUAAUUUGAAGGGAGUAUGAUUCUUUUUCCUCCUCAUCUUUCUCCUCUUUUAUUCCUUCCCCUCCUAUUUAAACGGUUAGGAUUAAAGCACACUGAAAUUUAUGGAGAGAAAAAGACGAAAAAAAAGUGUGAGAUGAGGGAAGUAAGAGAUAGAAAAUACAUGUUACAUAAACGGUUAGGAUUUAGCCCAACUUAUGUUUUUGCAAGGGGCUUUUCUCAUAGUGCACAUGUUACUUACAUAUCUAAAUAACAACCGUUAAAUUUAUAUGAACGAACGAGACAAAACUUUACCUUAAGUUACAACCGGGAUACCAAACCUUGAAGUACAGAAUCCGGUAGUUCUCUAUCUUCUCGCUCCGGGCGUCUGUCUCUCUCCUCCCUUCCCUUAGCCAAAACCUCAGUUCCUGUCUAGACCUAGAGCACUGCUGCCAUCACCAACAACUCUUUUGAAUUAGAUGAUGGGUUAAGUGUUUGUGUUGAUAAUUUUGGAGGGAAAUAGAACUUGGUGGAGGUCCUGGGGAGGAGUGGCUUUGGGUGGCUUGAGGGUUUUUGAUAGGUGGAGAGUUGAGUGGUUAACGGAGGCACAGUCGCCAACGGAUUAUAAUCUUUCGGCGGAGGUGUUUGGCCAACGGUGGGGAGAGGUAGGGGAGGUGACCAGGAGAAAGAGGAAGAGGUGGCAACUUUCGGCGCCCGUUCGUUAAGGUUGAUCGGUGGGUUAGAAGUAAAUGGGUAAAUAAAAUGUGCAUGUAGACGUGUGCACUGGGGAAGCAGCCUUUCGGCGAGUUGGAUGGAUGGGCGAAAACAUGGAAUUUUGAAUAUUCUAAGCCGUCCACGUGUAGGGUAGUCCUUUCUCCUCGGCACCGAACUUGUCUGUUGCUGUUAGGCCGUGCCCAACCUCCAGCCCAAAGCUGGGGCCCACUUUAUUCAUCCUCGCUCACCGCAAGUCUGCAACCUAAAGUGGGGCCCACUUUAGUCGGUCCCACAGUUCAUAUACUGUUCAAUAAUAAUAAUAAUAAUAUUAUUAUUAUUAUUUUAUUUUCGGAAGAUUCAAUGUUUCUGUAUCCACUAGUGAAUGUGGGAAAAUGUGUUUGAUGGUAUGUCUGAUGCACCUGCCAUUAAUUACUAAGGUACGAAAGAGAUACCUGCGCAUAUUUUUUGGUAUUUUACUAAUAUUACAACAUACACGUAAGCAUUUUUGUAGUAUUCAAGCUUUCAGCUCGACUUUUGAUGUUAUAUUUUUACUAUGUUACACAAAAUUUACAGC